GGGUCAGUAGGUUGGUCGUGCCACCGGUACGUACUGGUCUCACUGAUUCCUCCUUCCUGAAGAACCGUAAUGCCAUUAAUUUGGUGUUGCGGGGAAACAGGACUGUUACUUUGAAAAAAUUAGAGUGUUUAAAGCAAGCUAACGCUUGAAUACAUUAGCAUGGAAUAAUGAAAUAGGACGAUCGAUCCUGUUUUGUUGGUUUCUAGGAUUGACGUA
RNAcentral lists this ribosomal RNA (216 nucleotides) under Glomeromycotina sp. Its description in RNAcentral is "partial small subunit ribosomal RNA". The stretch from base 40 to 216 matches the Rfam family "Eukaryotic small subunit ribosomal RNA", at positions 686 to 864 of the family's 1831-position model. Lineage: Eukaryota; Fungi; Glomeromycota. The record is from RNAcentral.